GAUGAAGAACGUAGCGAAAUGCGAUAAGUAAUGUGAAUUGCAGAAUUCAGUGAAUCAUCGAAUCUUUGAACGCACAUUGCGCCCGCCAGUAUUCUGGCGGGCAUGCCUGUUCGAGCGUCAUUUCAACCCUCAAGCCCCCGGGCUUGGUGUUGGGGAUCGGCGUGCCCUCGCGGCGCGCCGUCCCCUAAAUCUAGUGGCGGUCUCGCUGUAGCUUCCUCUGCGUAGUAGCAACACUCGCACUGGAUCGCAGCGCGGCCACGCCGUUAAACCCCCCACUUCUGAAAGUUUGACCUCGGAUCAGGUAGGAAUACCCGCUGAACUUAAGCAUAUCAAUAGCGGAGGA
Molecule: unclassified non-coding RNA, 343 nt
Filed under: soil metagenome
Description: partial contains 5.8S ribosomal RNA, internal transcribed spacer 2, and large subunit ribosomal RNA
Rfam family: 5.8S ribosomal RNA (bases 1-120)
Source: RNAcentral